This 453-nucleotide long non-coding RNA is filed under the name Carica papaya (papaya). Its description in RNAcentral is "long non-coding RNA (CPAP_LNC011516)". Lineage: Eukaryota; Viridiplantae; Streptophyta; Magnoliopsida; Brassicales; Caricaceae. The record is from RNAcentral.
AUUACAGUAAAGUUUUAUCAGUAACUUGCUUCUACUAGGAACUCCUCAAAAAUAUCUUUUUUAGCCAUAAUCCUUCAUAAUUUCCCUGUAGGAACUCCUAAAAAAGAUCUUCUACUACUUCAACAUUACUUUUAGCCAUAACAUUUUGAUUGUUACUCUUCUAUGAUCAAGUUCUCCCAAUAAAUGUGCAAUAUCCGGUACUAAACCUUCUAUCUAUUGUUGAAACUCCCAAGUUGCAUCCAUGAAUACUUCUAUUCCAUUGGUUUCCCACUCUUCUUGAAGAAUAAAACCUUUCUUCGAGAGCCUUUCUUAGAGGGUCUUCUUUAUCACAGCGAGUUUCUCAUAGUGAGUGCAUGUGUUGACUAACUACACUGAUUGCAAAGAUAAUAUUUGGUCGAAUAUGUAAUAAGUAGAUUAAUUUGCCAACUAAUCUUUAAUACUUUCCUGUUUCAA